RNAcentral lists this ribosomal RNA (200 nucleotides) under uncultured bacterium. RNAcentral's name for it is "partial 16S ribosomal RNA". It matches the Rfam family "Bacterial small subunit ribosomal RNA", at positions 8 to 227 of the family's 1533-position model. The record is from RNAcentral.
AGAGUUUGAUCAUGGCUCAGGAUAAACGCUGGCGGCGUGCCUAACACAUGCAAGUCGAACGCCCUACGCAAGUAGGGAGUGGCGGACGGGUGAGGAACACGUGGGUGAUCUACCCCGAGGUGAGGAAUACCGGCGAGAAAUCGCCGACAAUACCGCAUAGCCUUCGGAGACGAAGGAAAGUCGCAAGACGCCUGGGGAUG